This 205-nucleotide unclassified non-coding RNA is filed under the name plant metagenome. RNAcentral describes it as "partial contains small subunit ribosomal RNA, internal transcribed spacer 1, and 5.8S ribosomal RNA". The record is from RNAcentral.
UUUCCGUAGGUGAACCUGCGGAAGGAUCAUUAGCUACUCAUGUGCAUUACGGGGUUCAUAGCUGGUAACACGGCUGGACACCAAACACAUUAGUGCUUCCAUGUACCGAAUGGGUACCUGGAGUGCAUACACGCUUUAUCGUAGUACAUAUUUAGUGCAAGUAUCAAAAUAUCUAAAACUUUUAACAAUGGAUCUCUUGGCUCCC